UGAGGAAUAUUGGACAAUGGGCGCAAGCCUGAUCCAGCCAUGCCGCGUGCAGGAAGAAGCAUCUAUGGUGUGUAAACUGCUUUUGCACGGGCAGAAACACUCCUUCGUGAAGGAGCUUGACGGUACCGUAAGAAUAAGGAUCGGCUAACUCCGUGCCAGCAGCCGCGGUAAUACGGAGGAUUCAAGCGUUAUCCGGAAUCAUUGGGUUUAAAGGGUCCGUAGGCGGUUUAGUAAGUCAGUGGUGAAAGCCCAUCGCUCAACGAUGGAACGGCCAUUGAUACUGCUAGACUUGAAUUAUUAGAAAGUAACUAGAAGAUGUAGUGUAGCGGUGAAAUGCUUAGAUAUUACAUGGAAUACCAAUUGCGAAGGCAGGUUACUACUAAUGGAUAGACGCUGAUGGACGAAAGCGUGGGGAGCGAACA
RNAcentral lists this ribosomal RNA (422 nucleotides) under uncultured bacterium. RNAcentral describes it as "bacterial SSU rRNA". It matches the Rfam family "Bacterial small subunit ribosomal RNA", at positions 355 to 774 of the family's 1533-position model. The record is from RNAcentral.